This 88-nucleotide transfer RNA is filed under the name Aeriscardovia sp. RNAcentral's name for it is "tRNA-Ile". It matches the Rfam family "tRNA". Rfam says of the family: Transfer RNA (tRNA) molecules are approximately 80 nucleotides in length. Lineage: Bacteria; Bacillati; Actinomycetota; Actinomycetes; Bifidobacteriales; Bifidobacteriaceae. The record is from RNAcentral.
CGGGGUGUAACUGAAUUGGAACAGUAGCUGUCUUAUACACAGAAGACCCUGAUAAGGUACUAUGGGAGUCCGAGCCUCCCCACCCCGA